UACGUAGGGGGCUAGCGUUGUCCGGAUUUAUUGGGCGUAAAGAGCGCGUAGGCGGCCGAGUAAGUCCGACGUGAAAUCUGGAGGCUCAACCUCCAGCGGUCGUUGGAAGCUACUCGGCUAGAGACCGGAAGAGGAGAGUGGAAUUCCUGGUGUAGCGGUGAAAUGCGCAGAUAUCAGGAAGAACACCGAUGGCGAAAGCAGCUCUCUGGGACGGUACUGACGCUGAGGCGCGAAAGCGUGGGGAGCGAACAGG
Molecule: ribosomal RNA, 253 nt
Filed under: uncultured bacterium
Lineage: Bacteria
Description: partial 16S ribosomal RNA
Rfam family: Bacterial small subunit ribosomal RNA
Source: RNAcentral